GCUAAUACCGCAUAUUGCCGAGAGGUGAAAGAUUUAUCGCUACAAGAUGAGCCCAUGCAAGAUUAGCUAGUUGGUGAGGUAAAUGCUUACCAAGGUUACGAUCUUUAGCUGGUCUGAGAGGAUGAUCAGCCACACUGGAACUGAGACACGGUCCAGACUCCUACGGGAGGCAGCAGUGGGGAAUAUUGGACAAUGGGCGAAAGCCUGAUCCAGCGACGCCGCGUGAGUGAAGAAGGCCUUCGGGUUGUAAAGCUCUUUCGGUAGGGAAGAUAAUGACGGUACCUACAAAAGAAGCUCCGGCUAACUUCGUGCCAGCAGCCGCGGUAAUACGAAGGGAGCUAGCGUUACUCGGAAUUAUUGGGCGUAAAGCGUACGUAGGCGGCUUAGUAAGUUGGGAGUGAAAUCCUUGGGCUUAACCUAAGAAUUGCUUUCAAAACUACUAAGCUAGAGUAUCAGAGAGGAUAGCGG
This 468-nucleotide ribosomal RNA is filed under the name Candidatus Lariskella guizhouensis. Its description in RNAcentral is "bacterial SSU rRNA". It matches the Rfam family "Bacterial small subunit ribosomal RNA", at positions 162 to 664 of the family's 1533-position model. Lineage: Bacteria; Pseudomonadati; Pseudomonadota; Alphaproteobacteria; Rickettsiales; Candidatus Midichloriaceae. The record is from RNAcentral.